RNAcentral lists this ribosomal RNA (417 nucleotides) under uncultured bacterium. RNAcentral describes it as "bacterial SSU rRNA". It matches the Rfam family "Bacterial small subunit ribosomal RNA", at positions 917 to 1333 of the family's 1533-position model. The record is from RNAcentral.
GGACCCGCACAAGUAGUGGAGCAUGUGGUUUAAUUCGAAGAUACGCGCAGAACCUUACCAACACUUGACAUGUUCGUCGCGACUUUAAGAGAUUAAAGUUUUCGGUUCGGCCGGACGAAACACAGGUGCUGCAUGGCUGUCGUCAGCUCGUGUCGUGAGAUGUUGGGUUAAGUCCCGCAACGAGCGCAACCCUCACUUUUAGUUGCCAUCAUUAAGUUGGGCACUCUGAAAGAACUGCCAGUGAUAAGCUGGAGGAAGGUGGGGAUGACGUCAAGUCCUCAUGGCCCUUACGUGUUGGGCUACACACGUGCUACAAUGGUAUCUACAACAGGAAGCAAAACUGCGAGGUUAAGCAAAUCCUCAAAGAUACCUCAGUUCGGAUUGCACUCUGCAACUCGAGUGCAUGAAGCUGGAAUU